AUACUUACCUGGCGUAGGGGCUACCGUGAUCAUGAAGGCGGUUCCCCCGGGACGAGGCCUUACCAUUGCACUUCGGUUUGGUUGACUCCUGCGAAUGCCCCAAAUGUGGGCAUCUCGGGCGCGUAAUUUUUGGUAGUCGGGACUGCGUUCGCGCUCUCCCGGU
Pediculus humanus corporis (human body louse) is the source of this 163-nucleotide non-coding RNA. Lineage: Eukaryota; Metazoa; Arthropoda; Insecta; Psocodea; Pediculidae. The record is from Rfam.